AUGAUCUAUUUCUCUGGGACUUUCAAUCUUCACGAUCCUCUCUGCUCGGAUGGGGAAAUGAAAAUUCUUUUUUAUUCUUUAUUAUUGAAUCAUGUACCAUUUGUUUUCAGGGUGGGAUCCGAUUAUCGGCGUGUUUACAUUUAUCACCUCUUUGUGUUUCUUUCUGUGCAGCGUGUGUUUUUCAGAGCUUCAAAUGAAAGGAGGACGAAGGGCGAUUUAGGAAAUUGUUGUUGUGGUCACGAAGACAUCAGGCCAAAGGUAACCGGGUGCAACCGUGCAAGUGCUAUUUAUUAUUCGACUGUAUUUUGUUUAUUCCAGAUGAAAUCCAUACUAUUUAUAAGGACCAGCAAAAAUGAUGGCGCGACAAAUAAACGAUAG
This 378-nucleotide ribosomal RNA is filed under the name Triticum aestivum (bread wheat). RNAcentral's name for it is "partial small subunit ribosomal RNA". Lineage: Eukaryota; Viridiplantae; Streptophyta; Magnoliopsida; Poales; Poaceae. The record is from RNAcentral.